UCUAUGAAUCGUUGAACAAAAUCAUACAUGAAAAGUUCAAUGUGACUUUUAAUUGCUGAAUUUAAAAAAAGAAAACACAAUUUUACUAUUUUUGCAAGAAAGAUAAAUCACAUAAGACUUACCUAUACAAAUAAUUCAACCAUAAAUUUACCUUUUUGCAAGUUUUCUUCUUUGGAAGCAGCAGAUAUGUAAAAUCAUUACACAUUAUGUUCAUGCUGUAUGUACAUAAAAUGGACUAGAGACCCCAAAAGUAAAUUCUUUGGAGAUUUGGUUCCAAAGGGGGAAAACAAACUCUCUUUGUCUGAACAGGUGAAAGGUACCAAAAAAGAGUGAAAACCAGUUUUCCCCUUUUUUUGUUUUUUUAUUUUAUUUCUUUUGUUUUUGUAGGAGAACCAGCAGUGGAAGAAAAGAUCACUUUCUUUGUAGACACUUUAUAGGGUUUCGGAUUCUGUAAACUCUGGCACGUAACUCGACCUCAAAGUUAAUGAAAUCCUGAUAGACUUUCCCUGCCCUCCUUCCUGCUUCCAUCCUUCAGAUUAUCUCACCUUUUAAAAACUCAGUUUCUAUUUGUAUACAUGUGAUCUUCAUGUCAUUGGCUUUUUAUGCGGGCACUUUUCACCUACAUCCUUUCCUUCCCUCAUCUGGCAGCCAGUUGGGCUUCUUCCUGCCUUGAAUACCACAUUCCCUAGUUUUUCAAGCUCAGUCAUUAGCACCCUGUCCCCCUACUAAAAUUAUGAAUGAAAAGCCUUGUUGUUCUUUACAAAUAACUCAGGCUGCCUCAGUCAGUCAAAUUCGAAUGGAAGUGACUGCCAGACAAAGGGCCAGGAUGAUGGACAGUGCUCACAGCAAGUCAUCAAUGCCCACAGGAAGUUUUUUAAGCCACAAUAUAGGUAGAGAGGCUUGGGCGUUCCCGGAGGACAAGCUUACAGAAGGAGGCUGGGAGGUGGGGGGAGGGAGACUUUCUGUGUCUGUUGGGAACUUAGAAAAAACUUCCAUGAAGCUCAGAGAUAACAAUGUACAGAGUCAUUUUUGCCCUAGCAAGAACUUAAAAUUCCGGCCAUGGAGACAUCUACACCUUGCAGUAAUUCUGGUUUGCACCGACACACACAGACAAAAGUGAAGGCACCAACCAUUUACUUGGUUUUGAAUGCUGAACGAUGCAAGAGUGGGUUACAUUCUUGGAGCUGCACAACUCCCUGCUGAGAAGUUGCAUUGUCUUGGGCCCCUCUUUCACAACAGGGGAAAAGGUAAUUGACAGCCCGAUUGUUUGGCUGGGACCCCUGCUGUUAUAAAAUCCUAGAAGGCCCCAGUCACACGUUGUCAAUAAUAGCCGUCGGAGGUGAGGAGUGAAGAAGGGCUGUUCAGGAAACAGUUUGAGCCCUUCAAGUGGACAGGCCUCAGUGACUUCUGCACUCUGGCUGCCACAAGCAGCUCAUUCAAAAAUAACCUUAAAGUAAUAAAUCAAACUUGUUUCCUGAACUAUACAAGGAACAGCUGGUUAUUUUUCCUCACUUUUUUUUUUUUUUUCAAAAGCCAAAAAAAAAAAAAAAAAAGAGGGAGAUUUUACUACAGGAAACCAAGCAUGUCAAAAUUUGGCAAAGCAAUUUGGAUGAUUUAACAGUUAAACACUUCUCUUUUUAAUGUUAUGCUUUCAUCAGUCUUUUUUAUUUAAGCUUUUCAGUUUUGCAUUCUGUUUGCCGCAAUUAGUGUCCCUUAUCUGUUCACCCCCUACUUUUGAAAGGAAAAUGAGUCUAGGAUCCUGUCUUUAGAGUAUUUUGCUGUGUAAUUUCUAAUGUACUGGUCAAGUAGCUCAACUUAUUUUACAGGCAAAAUUUGUUUUCUUCCACAGAGUUGAGCUUGGAUUUAGAUCUACAGCUCCACGUAUUUGUUUCUCCUGAGACCCAUAUAUUUUGGAGUUCUGACGACAAGGCAGUUUUUCUUCAGUCUAUUGAUUUAGGAACCCUGACCUAGGAGUGCAUAUGCUGUAACUGAAGUAGUCUGGUGUCUUAACAUUUUCAGCUUCAAACAUGUGUUACGUGACUAGAUGGAAUUCCUUGAGAACUGUAUUAACAUGUUUCAAAGAGUUGAAUUAACAGCAGAUAAAAUGACCUUUUUCUGCUUUGGAGAGAUGGGAUGGAUACUGCAGUUGAUUAAUUACUCCCUACUCCCAGAAAUACUUCUCUUUAGAACCCUGUAAGUAGGGCCUUUCCCUUCUACCCUUGUAAGUUUUUUCUCAUUAUUUCCUUUUGCGUCCUGUCUCUUCCCUCUGCAAUAUUUCCUUCCUUUCUGUGUGGGAAACGAUAGCCCCAUGCUAUGGGAUCAGGGUACGUAGAAGUUGGUAAAGAUGAAGUAUACUUCUAAAAGGCUGUGUUCUGAAAGUGCAUCUGCAGAGACGUGGAGGAAAAUAAGGAGAGCAUGCUGAGUGACAGGAAUGGAUGGGGAUACACAGUAAAGGCCAUGGAAGCCUCGGCGAAUUUAUUGGCUUCAGAAAUGUAAAUCCACAAAAACAGCUACCACCUGGCUAGAUGGGUCUCUGGGUCCUGGGCUC
Non-coding RNA from Macaca mulatta (Rhesus monkey), 2548 nucleotides. The record is from RefSeq and is a predicted model, not a curated record. NCBI's taxonomy places the organism in Eukaryota, Metazoa, Chordata, Mammalia, Primates, Cercopithecidae.